CAGGAGCACCAACUCGCCUUGGAAUGCCUCGAGUCUGUCAUGAAACAAGGCGAUGAAGAAGAAGAGCAAGCUCUAGCGAGCGAGAUCGACCGGUGUAAGGUGUUCCUCCGGCAAAGCCAGCACGGCGACUACGAUCUCUCUUCUUACUUCCUCCCCAACAAGGCCAGCGACACGCCAUUUCAAUGCAGUGACUACUUCGGUCCUCUGGAGAUCAAGCACACCCACGACGGGCGAGGACGGGGGAUCUUCCUCACCCGCGACGUCCAACUCGGGGACUUGCUGCUCGCUUGCAAUCCAAUCGCGGCUGUGUCAAGCGCCGCUUCCCAUGACGCAGACGAGGACUUGGUGGUGGAGAUCGUCAAGGCGUGUGUGGAGUCCGAGCGGCGGCUCAAGCAGAUCUAUGCCAUGGCCGACCGCGAGGCAGCCGAGGUGACGGCACUGCCCGACUUGGCCCCGUUCAAGUGUAACACCGGAAAGGUGGCGGCCACGCCGAGAAGCAGCCGGGGCGUGGACGUUGCCAGGAUUCGAAGAGCUCGCGAUCGAGUGGGCUACAGCUCGCAGGGAUCUGGCGGCUCAUACGUUCCGGGGCUGUGGGCAUCGGUGGGAUUGAUCAACCACUCGUGCAUUCCAAACGCUUCCAAGAUGAGCAUCGGCGAUGUGGUGUUCGUGAGAGCUGCCAAGGAUCUCAAGGCCGGGGACGAGGUGCUGCUCUCGUAUCUGGAGCCGCCGCUGGCUCCCUACGCCGGCUACCGCGAGAAGAUGAUCCAGCAGUACAACUUUGAGUGUAGCUGCGAGCGAUGCAAGCUGGAGCAGAGCCACCGUCAUGUCUUGGGUGAUCUUCCCGGCUACGAAGACGAUCGCGGGGGAUCGGGGCUGGCGAUCAAAGUCGACGACGAUGUCAUGGACGUGGUGGUGGAGAUUGAGAAGCGGAUCAAAGGGAUGAGCGAGCAGGAGAAGGAUUGGAUUCGUGCUGGGUUUGUGGAUCACUACUUGGCUGUUUGCAUGCUCAGAGAUCCUCGGGUCCCGAUCGACUGCGAGCAGCUGUUGAGGAUCAUGCGUGAGACCGGUUCGGGCAGCAAGCACACGCUGUCGAGGAUUGCAUUCUUGUGUAACAUCAGUGGGAGGAAACCCGAGACGAUGAAGGUCUUGUACGAGCAAGUUACUGCUCUGUACGGUAGACAAAGCCCCGAAGUCGUCGAUGCUAUAACACGAAAGUACCGCAUUCCAAGCCUCAACAUGUAACUCCCCUUCUGCUUCUCUAGCUAGGCGUAGAUUGAUUGAUUGGAAUGAAU
RNAcentral lists this long non-coding RNA (1292 nucleotides) under Selaginella moellendorffii. RNAcentral's name for it is "long non-coding RNA (SMOE_LNC001359)". The record is from RNAcentral. Lineage: Eukaryota; Viridiplantae; Streptophyta; Lycopodiopsida; Selaginellales; Selaginellaceae.